UUAACUACCGAGCUAGAGGCCGAGGGAGGUGAAUUCCGCGUGUAGCAGAAAUGCGUAGAUAUGCGGAGGAACACCGAUGGCGAAGGCAGCCUCUGGGAUAACACUGACGUCAUGCACGAAAGCGUGGGGAGCAAACAGGAUUAGAUACCUGGUAGUCCACGUUCUAAACGAUGUCAACUAGCUGUUGGGGCUCGGGCCUUGGUGAAGGGCAGCUGACUGGCAGGAAGUUGACCGCUCAGAGACACGUAAGAUUAAACUCAAAGGAAUUGACGGGGACUCGUACAAGCGGUGGAUGAUGUGGAUUAAUCUGAUGCAACGCGAAAAACCUUACCUACCCCUUGACAUGUCUGGAAUCCCGAAGAGAUUUGGGAGUGCUCGCAAGAGAACCCGGAACACAGGCGCUGCAUGGCUGUCGUCAGCUCGUGUCGAGAUGCUGGGUUAAGUCCCGCAACGAGCGCAACCCUUGUCAUUAGUUGCUACGAAAGGGCACCUAAUGAGACUGCCGGUGACAAACCGGAGGAAGGUGUAUUAACGUCGUCCUCAUGGCCCUUGGCGGGUAGGUUUCACACGUCAUACAAUGGUCGAUUGCAGGGCCGCCAACCCGCGAGGGGGGAGCCAACUUCAGAAACCCGAUCGUAGUCCGGAUCGCAGUCUGCAACUCGACUGCGUGAAGCUCUGGAAUCGCUGGGGUAACGCGGACCCAGCAUGCUCGCGGUGAAUACGUUCCGGGUCUUGUACACACCGCCCGUCACACCAUGGGGCGGGUUUUACCAGAAGUAGUUAGCCUAACCGUAAGGAGGGCGAUUACCACGGUAGGAUUCAUGACUGGGGUGAAGUCGUAACAAGGU
Molecule: unclassified non-coding RNA, 848 nt
Filed under: uncultured Bordetella sp.
Lineage: Bacteria; Pseudomonadati; Pseudomonadota; Betaproteobacteria; Burkholderiales; Alcaligenaceae
Description: partial 16S-23S ribosomal RNA intergenic spacer
Rfam family: Bacterial small subunit ribosomal RNA
Source: RNAcentral